This 103-nucleotide small nuclear RNA is filed under the name Nannospalax galili (Upper Galilee mountains blind mole rat). The record is from RNAcentral. Lineage: Eukaryota; Metazoa; Chordata; Mammalia; Rodentia; Spalacidae.
GUUUUUUUUUCAGGAUCAUAUUUCCUAAAAUUAGAGCUACAUAGAGAAGAUCAGCAUGGUCUACAGAAAGAUGAAAUGCAAAUUCAUAGUGUUCCAAAUCUUU